RNAcentral lists this ribosomal RNA (253 nucleotides) under uncultured bacterium. Its description in RNAcentral is "partial 16S ribosomal RNA". It matches the Rfam family "Bacterial small subunit ribosomal RNA", at positions 524 to 776 of the family's 1533-position model. The record is from RNAcentral.
GACGAAGGUGGCGAGCGUUGUUCGGAUUCACUGGGCAUAAAGGGCGCGUAGGCGGUUCCGCAAGUGGCGUGUGAAAGCCCCCGGCUCAACCGGGGAAGUGCACGCCAGACUGCGGUUCUAGAGGGCGGUAGGGGGGACUGGAACUCUCGGUGGAGCGGUGAAAUGCGUAGAUAUCGAGAGGAACACCGGCGGCGAAGGCGAGUCCCUGGUCCGCAUCUGACGCUGAGGCGCGAAAGCGUGGGUAGCAAACAGG